GCGGCCAGUGACGAUUGAAUUACGCGCCCGCUUCCCCCACAAUAGCGCCCAUGGUUGUAAUCCCGGCGAGUUGGAGACGUUCUGGACAGGGGUUCGAUUCCCCUCACCUCCACCGAAGCGCAUCCGGAUAGCGUGCAUUUCGGUGGGGGUGUCCCGGUUUCGACAGGGCGAGCAAAGACAAGCAGGCAACCCGAGAGGCGACGGACGUAAUCCGCGCAAAUCCAUAAACGCCAAUGAUGAGCGUUUCGCAGUCGCUGCUUAAGCUGAUUGCCGGGGCCGCUGAAGCCUUGUAACCCAAGACAGCCGGUGGGGGCUUCGGCCCCCACCGUCA
This 331-nucleotide transfer-messenger RNA is filed under the name Azoarcus sp. It matches the Rfam family "Betaproteobacteria transfer-messenger RNA". Rfam says of the family: Bacterial tmRNA, also known as 10Sa RNA or SsrA, is named for its dual tRNA and mRNA-like properties. Its role is to liberate the mRNA from a stalled ribosome. The record is from RNAcentral. Lineage: Bacteria; Pseudomonadati; Pseudomonadota; Betaproteobacteria; Rhodocyclales; Zoogloeaceae.